UACGAACUGUGCGAACGUUAUUCGGAAUCACUGGGCUUACAGGGUGCGUAGGCGGCUAUUCAGGUCAGGUGUGAAAGCCCCCGGCUCAACCGGGGAACUGCGCUUGAAACCGAGCGGCUCGAGUCAGCUAGAGGUACACGGAACUUCCAGUGGAGCGGUGAAAUGUGUUGAUAUUGGAAGGAACACCGGAGGCGAAAGCGGUGUACUGGGGCUGGUCUGACGCUGAGGCACGAAAGCCAGGGGAGCGAACGGG
Molecule: ribosomal RNA, 253 nt
Filed under: uncultured bacterium
Lineage: Bacteria
Description: partial 16S ribosomal RNA
Rfam family: Bacterial small subunit ribosomal RNA
Source: RNAcentral